CUACGGAGGGUGCAAGCGUUGUUCGGAAUCACUGGGCGUAAAGGGCGCGCAGGCGGUUUGGUAAGUCAGAUGUGAAAGCCCAUGGCUCAACCAUGGAAGUGCAUUUGAAACUGUCAGACUUGAGUACUAGAGGGGAAAGUGGAAUUCCCGGUGUAGAGGUGAAAUUCGUAGAUAUCGGGAGGAAUACCGGUGGCGAAGGCGACUUUCUGGCUAGAUACUGACGCUGAGGCGCGAAAGCGUGGGGAGCAAACAGGAUUAGAAACCCCAGUAGUCC
Molecule: ribosomal RNA, 274 nt
Filed under: uncultured bacterium
Lineage: Bacteria
Description: partial 16S ribosomal RNA
Rfam family: Bacterial small subunit ribosomal RNA
Source: RNAcentral